RNAcentral lists this ribosomal RNA (565 nucleotides) under uncultured bacterium. RNAcentral's name for it is "bacterial SSU rRNA". It matches the Rfam family "Bacterial small subunit ribosomal RNA", at positions 338 to 916 of the family's 1533-position model. The record is from RNAcentral.
CCUACGGGAGGCAGCAGUGGGGAAUAUUGCACAAUGGGCGGAAGCCUGAUGCAGCGACGCCGCGUGAGGGAUGAAGGCCUUCGGGUUGUAAACCUCUUUCAGCAGGGACGAAGCGUGAGUGACGGUACCUGCAGAAGAAGCACCGGCUAACUACGUGCCAGCAGCCGCGGUAAUACGUAGGGUGCGAGCGUUGUCCGGAAUUACUGGGCGUAAAGAGUUCGUAGGCGGUUUGUCGCGUCGUUUGUGAAAACCCGGGGCUCAACUUCGGGCUUGCAGGCGAUACGGGCAGACUUGAGUGUUUCAGGGGAGACUGGAAUUCCUGGUGUAGCGGUGAAAUGCGCAGAUAUCAGGAGGAACACCGGUGGCGAAGGCGGGUCUCUGGGAAACAACUGACGCUGAGGAACGAAAGCGUGGGUAGCAAACAGGAUUAGAUACCCUGGUAGUCCACGCCGUAAACGGUGGGCGCUAGGUGUGGGUUCCUUCCACGGGAUCUGUGCCGUAGCUAACGCAUUAAGCGCCCCGCCUGGGGAUACGGCCGCAAGGCUAAAACUUAAGGAAUUGACGG